CUACCCACCACCCUUCCUAUCUGUGCACUGAGAGCUGUGUGAAGGUGGAGACCAGCUAUCUCCUGAGAUCCUUUGUCUUUGCAGCCACAGCAUUUGAAAUCAUUCUCGUCAAAGAUACAGAGAGGUUUUCCUCUUCCUAAUGAAUGAGCAUGUGACAAUCAAUAUGAUGUGUACCUGAGAGAAAAAAAUUAUUGAAGAUGUCAGCAGUGCUUAAAUAUGUUUCCUAUUCUAAGAUUCUCCCAAGAUCUGCAGUAACCUGGAAUAUCAGUUGGGAGUAUGUUCAUACCUGGACGCUGGUAGGAAGCAGAAGUGUAGAAGAAAGUCAGUUAUUCAAGGAAGCAGAGAUAUCUUAUUUUGAACUAUCAUUUUAUAAGCCCUUGAAAGAUAUUUUAAAUAAAAA
This 400-nucleotide long non-coding RNA is filed under the name Zonotrichia albicollis (white-throated sparrow). RNAcentral's name for it is "lncRNA (ENSZALG00000009397.1)". Lineage: Eukaryota; Metazoa; Chordata; Aves; Passeriformes; Passerellidae. The record is from RNAcentral.